CCACAGCGUGCAACCCGUCGACGCCAACCAGUCCAAAAAUGCAAACGUUUCCUCUCCGAGCUCUCCAAUCCCAUUUGGUCCAGGCAACGACGACGGGUGCAGCAACACCCCACAUCUCCUCUCAGGCUUCAUUCUGUUCGGGUCAUCGUCAGCGUAGUUUGCAGGCAAGUCAUCGCCAACCUUCAGGUCAUAUGUCCCCGAUCCAAGCUUAUUGGUAUCCGUUUCCUUCGGAGAAAGAUCC
RNAcentral lists this long non-coding RNA (241 nucleotides) under Physcomitrium patens. Its description in RNAcentral is "long non-coding RNA (PPAT_LNC011890)". Lineage: Eukaryota; Viridiplantae; Streptophyta; Bryopsida; Funariales; Funariaceae. The record is from RNAcentral.